UUUUAAUUCAUAUUUCUCUGUAAGUGUGAUUUAGCAUCUUUUUUCUUUUAAAUUGACAAAAACUGUAUUUAUAGCACACUACAUGAUGGUCCGAAGUACGUAUGCACAGUGGAAAGGCUAAAUCGAGCUAAUUAGCACAUGUCUUAACUCACAUGCUUAUUUCUUAGUGGUGGGAACACUUAAAUCUACUCUUAGCAAUUUCAGAAAUUCAUUAGUUAUAGUCACCAUACUGUACAAUAAUCCCUGACCAACAUCUUCCCAGCGCGUCCCACCCCGCCCCCUGCCCCAGGCAACCACCACUCUGCUCCUAUGAGUUCCCCUUUCUGCGAGUACACAUGUAAGUGAGAACAUGCAGGAUUUGUCUUUUUGUGCCUGGCUUAUUUCACUUAACAGAAUGUCCUUUGGGUUCAUAUAUGUUGUCACAAAUGAUAAGGUUUCAUCCUUUUCCAAGGCUAUACAGCACUCCACUGUAUAUACAGAUGAAGCCACACAGCACUCUGCUGUGCAUAUCGACCAGGUGGCACAGCACCCCCCUGUGCAUGUAGACCAGGCCAUGCAGCACUCCGCUGUGUAUAUAGACCAGGCCGUACAGUACUCCGCUGUGUAUAUAGACCAGGCCGUACAGUACUCCGCUGUGUAUAUAGACCAGGCCGUACUGCACUCCGCUGUGUAUAUAGAUUAGGCCGUACAGUACUCCGCUGUGCAUACAGACCAGGCCAUACUGCACUCCACUGUGUAUAUAGAGCAGGCCGUACUGCAUUCCGCUGUGCAUACAGACCAGGCCAUGCAGCCCUCUGCUGUGGAUACGGACCAUGUUCUGUUUAUCCCCUCAUCUGUGACCGAUCCCAUAUCUUGGCUACUGUGAUGGAUUUC
RNAcentral lists this long non-coding RNA (873 nucleotides) under Pan troglodytes (chimpanzee). Its description in RNAcentral is "long non-coding RNA NONPTRT004636". Lineage: Eukaryota; Metazoa; Chordata; Mammalia; Primates; Hominidae. The record is from RNAcentral.